CUGUAUCGUAGCACACGGCAGAGGAUUUUUAUACCGCAUUUUUAUGGAUUAUUUUUGGCGAGUUGGAUCUGGUGCAAGAGGAGAUAAAAACCAGCUCUUCAAGGGUUGAUUGAUGAGGGGAGAACGGUUUGGAGAGAGGGGAGAGGAGGAUGGGGAAGAGCUGGAGCUGCUGCCCUCCCAGGAGCCUUCAUCCCAUCCCAGGAGCCUUCAUCCCAUCCCAGGAGCCUUCAUCCCAUCCCUCUGAGGGAUCCAUCCCAGGAGCCUUCAUCCCAUCCUUCCAGGAGCCUUCAUCCCAUCCCAGGAGCCUUCAUCCCAUCCCAACCCUCCCAGGAGCCUUCAUCCCAUCCCAUCCCAGGAGCCUUCAUCCCUCCCAUCCCAUCCCAGGAGCCUUCAUCCCAUCCCUCUGUGGGAUCCAUCCCAUCCCUGAGGAAUCCAUCCCAACCCAUCCCAUCCCAGGAGGCUUCAUCCCAUCCCAGGAGCCUUCAUCCCAUUCCUCUGUGGGAUCCAUCCCAUCCCUCCGAGGGAUCCAUCCUAUCCCUAAGGAAUCCAUCCCAACCCAUCCCAUCCCUCCCAGGAGCCUUCAUUCCAUCCCUCUCCUCCAAGGGACCCAUCCCAUCCCAUCCCAUCCCAUCCCUCGGAAGGUUCCAUCCCUUCCCAUCCCAUCCCUCCCCUCUGAGGGAUCCAACCCAUCCCUCUGAAGGAUCCAACCCAUCCCAUCCCAUCCCUCUGAAGGAUCCAACCCAUCCCAUCCCAUCCCUCUGAAGGAUCCAUCCCAUCCCAUCCCAUCCCUCUGAAGGAUCCAGCCCUUCCCAACCCAUCCCUCUGAAGGAUCCAGCCCAUCCCUUCCCAACCCAUCCCAUCCCAUCCCAGCCCUCUGAGGGAUCCAUCCCAUCCCUUCCCAUCCCAUCCCUCCGGCUGCUCCCAGCGGAGCUGGGGAGGAGGAGGAGGAGGAGGAGGAGGAGGAGUUGGGAUCUCGGGGCAAUCCCGCUGUUCCCGCUGUUCCGUGGCCGUGGGAGCUCCUGAGCUGCCUCAGGGAAUUCCCAGCCUGGGGUGGGAUCCGCGUGGGGCAGGGGUGAUCCAACAAGGAAAAGUUCCCUGGAGCCGUUUUUGGGAAAGGCGUUCUGGGGCGCUCCGGCUCC
RNAcentral lists this long non-coding RNA (1139 nucleotides) under Lonchura striata (white-rumped munia). RNAcentral's name for it is "domestica (Bengalese finch) lncRNA (ENSLSDG00000018106.1)". The record is from RNAcentral. Lineage: Eukaryota; Metazoa; Chordata; Aves; Passeriformes; Estrildidae.